UACGAGGGGGGCAAGCGUUGUUCGGAAUUAUUGGGCGUAAAGGGUGCGUAGGCUGUGCGGUAAGUCACCUGUGAAAACUCUGGGCUCAACCCAGAGCCUGCAGGCGAAACUGCCGUGCUGGAGUAUGGGAGAGGUGCGUGGAAUUCCCGGUGUAGCGGUGAAAUGCGUAGAUAUUGGGAAGAACACCGGUGGCGAAGGCGGCUCACUGGCUCGUAACUGACGCUCAGGCGCGACAGCGUGGGGAUCAAACAGG
This 253-nucleotide ribosomal RNA is filed under the name uncultured bacterium. Its description in RNAcentral is "partial 16S ribosomal RNA". It matches the Rfam family "Bacterial small subunit ribosomal RNA", at positions 524 to 776 of the family's 1533-position model. The record is from RNAcentral.